Molecule: non-coding RNA, 31 nt
Filed under: Rattus norvegicus (Norway rat)
Lineage: Eukaryota; Metazoa; Chordata; Mammalia; Rodentia; Muridae
Source: RNAcentral
UCAACACAAAGAUGAGUCCCUAAUAAAUGCA